AAACAAAAAAAAACGUAGGUCGGUUUCCCCAAAAUGCAUGUUUAGAUAGUUUAAUUUGUUAGAUUUUCCAUAGUUUUUCCUCUGUUUAUAUUUGUCGUGAUUGCUACCUAAGUUUAUUUGUCUUCAUUUCAUUUCUCAUCAUGCAUCAUAGGCAUUUUAUUAGGAAUGUGUUGAUUAGAGAUUGGUUGCCAAAAACGAAUUUCUGAUGGAGGAGUCAAUUACGUAAGUAAC
Molecule: long non-coding RNA, 231 nt
Filed under: Gossypium raimondii (Peruvian cotton)
Lineage: Eukaryota; Viridiplantae; Streptophyta; Magnoliopsida; Malvales; Malvaceae
Description: long non-coding RNA (GRAI_LNC000731)
Source: RNAcentral